AACGCACCUUGCGCCCCUUGGCAUUCCGAGGGGCAUGCCUGUUUGAGUGUCAUGUUAAUCUCGACUCCCCUUGUUUUUCUAACUCGGGUGUGUUGGACGUGGAAGCUGCUGGCCCCCCUCUGUGGUCGGCUCUUCUUAAAUGUAUUAGCUGGGCUUUGGCUCGCGUUGAACGGUGUAAUAGUAAUCUUACAUUCACCGGGGCGCUUGCCUGACGAGUCUGCUUCUAAUCGUCCGUGUUUUCGGACAAGGUCGCUUUGUCGCCUUCAUUUGACACCUUGACCUCAAAUCAGGUAGGAUUACCCGCUGAACUUAA
RNAcentral lists this unclassified non-coding RNA (313 nucleotides) under uncultured fungus. Its description in RNAcentral is "partial contains 5.8S ribosomal RNA, internal transcribed spacer 2, and large subunit ribosomal RNA". The stretch from base 1 to 52 matches the Rfam family "5.8S ribosomal RNA", at positions 103 to 154 of the family's 154-position model. Lineage: Eukaryota; Fungi. The record is from RNAcentral. RNAcentral also lists the same sequence under 1 other name.